Long non-coding RNA from Bombus pyrosoma, 2758 nucleotides. RefSeq lists it as uncharacterized. The record is from RefSeq and is a predicted model, not a curated record. Lineage: Eukaryota; Metazoa; Arthropoda; Insecta; Hymenoptera; Apidae. The transcript is spliced from 3 exons.
GUAAUACGAGAAGGUACACAGAAUAUCCAAACUACAGUGCUUUCUUUGCGAUGCUUGCCAGAUAAUACAGUUUCCUACAGACGUUCUACUUUUUCUCGUUAUAUCCGGAAAAAUACGAAUUUGCAGAAAAAUCCGCAGUCAACUUAUGGGCGUCAGUGUACACGUAAGCGAAUCGAGGAAAGCGACGAUGCUCUCUAAGCUACAUCCGGCAGAGCGGCAGUUUUUUGUGCACCGCGUCGCAUCCUUAAGUUCGCCACACUUGUUUCGCUAGUAGCAGCGCCCUCUUCGUGACUAUGAUGCGCGAGCAUGGAAGCGCGCGCGCAGAUCGGCGCAACAACGAGGCGCGCUUCACCGUAGCGUGCAACUGAAAAUCAGAAAUUUCCGCGCGCUGAUAGAUCACAGAGUGCAACGAGCUACUCUCAUCUGGUCCCGCCUCUCUACCGGCGAUCGUGAGAUCGUCCACGAUUUACGGAAUAGUCGAAAGAAGCAGCAGAUAUUGUCAACGUCUCAAGCAUUGUCAAUGAAGAAACCAAGGGAGGGAAGAGUAAAGGCGGCAGUGGCUCUUAAGAAGAGAUACAUUUUCGCCUACGAGUUCGUCGAAUGAAAUUCGAAUAUUCGCUGGGAAAGAUUUUCCCUUUGCACGAUGAACGUUGAAGAAAUACUGGUAACGUACAGUGAACGUCUGAGGAUCCUCUUGGAUUUUGAACUCUCAGUAUGGCUAUUAAGAUGGCGUACAAUUAGGGAGAAGAUAUAAGCGAAUUGAUAAUGGAAAUAGCCCAACAAGCUUUGAAGAGAUCUGUCUAUACUUUUCCUAUGUGCUUUUUACCUUGAAGACUUUUGUUACUUUUGCGGAAACUCGAAUAUUAAAUAAAAUGAAAUGUUAGUUGAGGAGCGUGGAAGAAAAUGAAGGAGGAAAAGAGAAGGAGUAAAGCGAUAUUUAUUGUCGGUUUUUACAAGUAGAAAGUAAGCAAAGUUGAUUAUCGCUCUGUUUCUUUUAGGGAAAUCCUUAAUUGGUAUCGAUAUACCUUUUUCCCAAUAGUUUCUCUCUUAUCCGGCUAGCGAUGUAACUCGCGCAAUAACAUACACGCUGUUGGCACGCGAUUUUAUCAACGCAGUGAAAAACAGGCGAAACGAAGAAGAAGGAACUGCAGGUUAUGCUAAGAUAACUGGUUGAAACAGAAGCAGAAUCGAAACAAAGUUAAAUUUACAAACAUUUAAUUUGAAUCUAAAUUUCUAUUUAUGGGAUAUCGUAUUUCCCCAUACAAUCAUAAAAUGUGCACAAUAUCGUUUACCAUCUUAGUUCCAAUGUCUCGCACCAAUUAUUAUUUCUUAGUGUUCCCUGAUUAUUUUAACGACAUAUGUAUAAUUUUCUAAAGUAGAGUUUAUAAUCUUGCGAAGAUUACAAAAAUUCCCUGGUCCGAUUGACUACAUUGUUGUAGAAUUAUUUUAACGUAGCCCCAACAUUGUCACGACGAUCGACUAUGCCAAAUAAAAUUAUAGAUUUUAGAUAAUUUUAACCGUGAUUUUUCAUAUUUGCUAUUCCUAGUGUUUCGAAAGCUUACAUGAAAAUAAGCUGUGAAUCAUUUUCUAUUUUAAAAACUUUCUAUUUCGAUGCUUCCUUCGAUCCAACCGAGAAGAAAAUUACAACGGAAAUUCUUUGCGAUACGAUAUCGAUGACCGUUGUAAUAUUUCUUAAGAAAUUUCAAAAUGCAAACUAAAAUAUUUCAUAAUGUGUGCGAUGAGAAAUAUGUGCCUUGAUGUCUCUGGGUUCUCAAUUCAAAGCUAUUGCUUCUUUUAUCUUUAACUUACGGAAUUAGAAAUUGGUUUAAUUCAAUCAGCAUUAAAAAACGAUAUUUUCUCGUUGAUCUAGUUCUCUUGUGCAAUAAAGUGGAUGAUAUUGUAAUUUUUAUUUUGUUCGUGUUAAUGAGAACGUCGUCAUCUUGAGAGCACACGCGCGGCUGAGAACCAUUGAUAAUUUUAUCGAACCAAUACUUGCCUAUGUACUCGUUCCGAUUGAUAGUAUCGAUGUUCGCAAUAGCUGUUAUCAAUCUCGCGUACACUUCUUUGAUUUUACAGUUCCAGGAAUACAAUUCUCUAUUUACAUUUUUCUCCGCGAUUUUUUAUACAAAUUUACAAAGACCGUAGUCAAGGAUGGAUUGCACUUUUCAACUGGUGCGAGAAAAAGUGGAAUAUUAAAUUUGAUACACGUUGGAAGAAAUGUAGUAUGAAAUUGUACUAAUCGUGCGAAUUAAUUCAUCCAUAGGUAUCGCUAAUUUGAAGUAUUAUGCUGACACAGAAAAUACAGAAGCAAAUUCCGAUCUGUCCACAGUCUUUAGAACUGCAACGAAAGAGUUCGAAAAUCCGAGAAGUAAGCAAUUUUUGUCUAACCAACAACGUAUACUAAGAUAAAAAAUAAUUUGAAAAGCAUAUAAUUAAAUAUGCGUGUAUGCUAUGAUUCCAACAAAUGAUAACGUAGAGUAUUUGCGUAUCUACCAUAUUGUUACUUUCUCCUGAAAAAUGAUUUCAUAUCUCAUAUUAUCUGUUACUCUACUGCUCUUAAACCUCAAUUACAAAGAUAAUCUUUUUAAUUAUCCUGUUCGAGAUUUUUAUGCUGCAAUCAUUGGCUGAUUAAAGUCUUUGAGGCUGGGGACUAUCGACUGAACAAAGGAGGAAACAAUCUCAAGCUAGAAAAAUGGGGAAGGGAGAAGGACUUAAAAUGAAAUAAAUUUGCAUAAAUAAAAUAAAGAGCCUGCUAUAA